AUGGCUCACUGUAAGACAUGGUUUUUGGAGAGGUAGCCAAGAGUUCUACAUCCAGAUUGGCAGGCAUCAGGAAGACACAGUGAGCCUCUGGGCCUGGCUUCUGCUUCUGAAACCUCAAAGCCCACCCCCAGUGACACAUUUUCUCCAACAAGGUCACACCUACUCUAACAACUCCAUACCUUAAUAAUUGUGCCUUUCCCUAUAAGCGUGCAGAGACCAUUUUCAUUCAGACCACCACACAGUACCAACUCAGCUCUUAAGAAUUGUCUGAAAAAGAUGGCUGUGGCAUGAGGGCAGAGCCUUUAGGACCUGCACAUUACACUUGUGGUGUGGGUGUGAGAGUGCAGUGAUCUUUUGACAAUCUUUUCAUCCCGUUACAUUUUUACUUUGCCAUUUUGUGCUGUUGCCUUUACUGUUCUCACAUGGCUCAAUCCUUACUCCUGAGUUUAUCUUUGUUUUACAGGACAAGGGCUCAGAGGACUGGACGCGUUCAGAUGUCGGUGUCCCCCCAGUUCUUGACCCUGGUCCUGUCUCCAGCCCGUCUCAGCUUACCCACUCUUGACUCCUUUGAGCCGUUCCGAGGGGCAGUUCUGGUCGUAGUGGCUUUUAUACUUUCACGGAAUUCUUCAGUCCAGAGAGUUCUCCUGCACCAGGCCCUGCACAGUUGCACUCAGUGCACUCAAGUGCUCACUGUUGUUUAGUCAGUAACUGCUUUCUGGUUUGAAAGAUGCAGUGGUUCCUCCCUGCCCUGAAUCCUUC
RNAcentral lists this long non-coding RNA (759 nucleotides) under Rattus norvegicus (Norway rat). Its description in RNAcentral is "long non-coding RNA NONRATT007191". The record is from RNAcentral. Lineage: Eukaryota; Metazoa; Chordata; Mammalia; Rodentia; Muridae.